GACGAACGCUGGCGGCGUGCCUAAUACAUGCAAGUCGAACGAGAGCGACCGGUGCUUGCACUGGUCAAUCUAGUGGCGAACGGGUGAGUAACACGUGGGUAACCUGCCCAUCAGAGGGGGAUAACAUCCGGAAACGGAUGCUAAAACCGCAUAGGUCUUCGAGCCGCAUGGCUUGAAGAGGAAAAGAGGCGCAAGCUUCUGCUGAUGGAUGGACCCGCGGUGCAUUAGCUAGUUGGUGAGGUAACGGCUCACCAAGGCCGUGAUGCAUAGCCGACCUGAGAGGGUGAUCGGCCACAUUGGGACUGAGACACGGCCCAAACUCCUACGGGAGGCAGCAGUAGGGAAUCUUCCGCAAUGGAUGCAAGUCUGACGGAGCAACGCCGCGUGAGUGAAGAAGGUUUUCGGAUCGUAAAACUCUGUUGUUAGAGAAGAACAAGUGCUAGAGUAACUGUUAGCGCCUUGACGGUAGCUAACCAGAAAGCCACGGCUAACUACGUG
This 498-nucleotide ribosomal RNA is filed under the name uncultured bacterium. RNAcentral's name for it is "partial 16S ribosomal RNA". It matches the Rfam family "Bacterial small subunit ribosomal RNA", at positions 28 to 507 of the family's 1533-position model. The record is from RNAcentral.